UCGGAACCAUGCUCAAGGUUGUUCUUGUGAUUUUAUUAGUAAAAUUAUUCAAUUUGCAGCAUAUUUUCCAUGAUGCGAUUAGCCUUCAUAGCAACUGAGAAUGGGCUUCAAAAUCCAAUCACAUGUCCACUAUGGAAGGCACUUUGAUAUAAGCAGUCUUGCCACAUGCAAUUACACUGAAACUGCACGCAAGCAGUGCUCUCAGCAAGGCAGGAGCUACACUUGCCAGCUAAAACUUUCAUUUUUGUAUGUGUUUUUUUUUUCAAUGCAAAGUGUGGAAAACUUUUACCAUGUAUAAUUAUCAGAGUAAGAUUGUGAUCAUAACUUAAAAUGUAAAUACACAUUAAAGUUGCCAGGUACCUGGAGUGUCACUUUAAAGUCGGUAACACCCAUAAUUAUGACUAGUAAAGGAUGUUACCUAGGUUCACCUGUGCUGAAUAACACACGUUCACAAUAUGCAAGCAGCAUCUGAACGUAAAGUUCUAAAUGAUCUUAAAAUGUUCUGUAGGUAAAAGAGCCACAUGCAGCUCCUGGGCCACAGAGACUGCAUUGCUUGGCCCAAAUCACAGUAGAAGCACAUAGAGAAUACAAUAAAAUGAUCAUGUGCAGUUUAUUCUUGUGAGGGUAUAAAAACGAUGCUACACUGUAUAUAUAAAACAUUUCCCAUGCAGAGUUUGGAUUCAUUGUGGGUUAUGGACAAAUGACCCAUUCUUGAACAAAGUUCUAAAUGUUAAUUUGCCCCCAACAGAAUCCAAAGCAAUGUUUCUGCUGGCUGAUGCACAUGUGAAACUUUGCAUCAAAAAACAAAUAAUGUUCCUUUACACAUAACCAUUAUUAACCCCUCUGUAAUAAAAGACCUAUUUUGAGCAGAAUACAAUAUAUUCUUUAAAAUACAUGCAAUCAGCCUAUUUCACCAUUCCUUUAAAGGCUUUUGCAGAUCAAUUCAUCUAAAAACGUCUAUUAAAAAGGCUCGGUGCUCUCCUCCAUCUCUUCUUGAAGAGAGCGCUGUAGGACGUCGCAAUAAAACUGCCAGCCCGACCCUUACCACCUCUCUACCCAGCAAUCACGGUGUGCUGUAGUGGUCGGACAGUAGUCAUCAGGCAAUAUAGGCACAUUGUACCACUGUGAGCACAAUGCUCUGGCAUUAGAUAUCUUCGGGGUGGAGAACUUCACCCGCCGUCUGAGGUAUAGUAAAAAUCGCUCCUGGAAAGGCAAAACAAGAAAUAUAGGGUUUAAGGAUACCAAACAGUUCUAGGGCAGAGUUCUAAAAGGGAG
This is a non-coding RNA of Pelobates cultripes (western spadefoot toad), 1275 nucleotides long. The record is from the annotation of a GenBank genome assembly. NCBI's taxonomy places the organism in Eukaryota, Metazoa, Chordata, Amphibia, Anura, Pelobatidae.